GAUGAACGCUAGCGGCAGGCUUAACACAUGCAAGUCGAGGGGUAGAGGAAGCUUGCUUCCUUGAGACCGGCGCACGGGUGCGUAACGCGUAUACAAUCUACCUUUUACAGAGGGAUAGCCCCAGAGAAAUUUGGAUUAAUACCUCAUAGUAUUUUCGGAUCGCAUGAUUUGAUUAUUAAAGUUCCAACGGUAAAGAUGAGUAUGCGUCCCAUUAGCUAGAUGGUAAGGUAACGGCUUACCAUGGCAAUGAUGGGUAGGGGUCCUGAGAGGGAGAUCCCCCCACACUGGUACUGAGACACGGACCAGACUCCUACGGGAGGCAGCAGUGAGGAAUAUUGGACAAUGGGCGCAAGCCUGAUCCAGCCAUGCCGCGUGCAGGAUGACGGUCCUAUGGAUUGUAAACUGCUUUUGUACAGGAAGAAACACUACUUCGUGAAGUAGCUUGACGGUACUGUAAGAAUAAGGAUCGGCUAACUCCGUGCCAGCA
RNAcentral lists this ribosomal RNA (487 nucleotides) under uncultured bacterium. Its description in RNAcentral is "bacterial SSU rRNA". It matches the Rfam family "Bacterial small subunit ribosomal RNA", at positions 28 to 513 of the family's 1533-position model. The record is from RNAcentral.